Molecule: long non-coding RNA, 4432 nt
Organism: Gallus gallus (chicken)
Lineage: Eukaryota; Metazoa; Chordata; Aves; Galliformes; Phasianidae
Source: Ensembl
CCAGGGAAUGUUCGGUUUGGUUCCCAGCCAGAAUGGUUACAUAUUUCAGAUUAAGAUGCUGCUUUUACUGGAGUGAUCCUAUCUGCAGUAUCUUAAGCUGCAGUGUGCGUGUGUGCACACACGCACGCACACAACCGCACUCACGUGCAUGCUUUAAAUAUUUGUGUGCCUCUGACCUUAUAAAAAAAGAAAGAAAGUAAAAAAAAAAAGGAACUGUAUCUUUGAGAGAAAGCAUGUAAAUCCAAACCACACAAUCAUAUGGUUUGGAGAAGGGAAACUUCGCCUCUUCUUGCUUUGAAGUGGCGGGGCUGAUCGCACUGAUGCUGAUUCAAAGCCCUGUGACUGCUUUCCAUGCCGUGAUGCUCACACCGUGGUGGAGAGGGGAACUGGGAGCUCACCUCCAGCUCUGAAUGAGGAUGGGGGCUCCCAGCAGGACCCAAUGGGUGGGGACCACAGGUUUUCCUCUGCACUUCAAGCCUCCCGCUGCUGUGCUCCUGCUCUCAGCAUUGUGCCUGGCUGUGCCCAUGAGCCUCUGCUCCCACCAAAGGGAAUAUGUGAUGAGAGCCACUCGUCGCUUCUGAUCAUUUUCUUUCAUCCCCCUGGAGCGCUGGGGGUGGGAACAGGAGGGCGACGGGGUCUGCUCAGAGGGAUGCAGUACUGCUGCCCCAGCAUGCGUCACUGGGAUCAGCAUGGAGGAUGUUCUUGCCUCUAAUCCCAUGCUGAAGGUAUUGUGUGUGCUGCUUCCUCCUUGGAUAAACAGCAGACAGCGCAGGCUGUGUCUCGCUGGGUAUCUUACAAAGGCUGCCUGGUUUCCCUGCUCUGUGCUGCUGCAGUGUGAUGUUGAUGCUUGUCAACAGAAAGCCUCUCUGUAGCAUGCUGAGCCCAUUUCCUCGGUGCGUGGACAUGCUGUUUAGCAAAGCUAUGUUGUUUGAGACUUUGUUAUGAAAAGAGAUCACAAAAAACAGCUUUUGAGCCUUAUAUCUGCCAAGUCUCUAAAAUAACGCACCAUAACUUGGGGAAAGCUGUUGAUUUACACCCUGCGGUGGGUUUGUGUUUUAACAAAGGUUUUGCAAUAGUUCAUAAGCUUCAUCCAAUUAUUUUUUUUUUAGCCAUAACUGAGAGCAGACAGAAACAUAGAAUCGUUAUGGUUGAAAAAAUGACCACUAAGAUUCCCAACUCCAACCCCAGCCCACCCCACCAUACACAUCACCACGUCCCUCAGUGCCACAUCCCCAUAUUUCUGGAGCACCUCCAGGGUUGGUGACCCCACCACUCCUUGGGCAGCUGUGCCGGUGCAGCACUGCUCUUUUGGAGGAGUUUUCCCUAAUAUCCAACCUGAACCUCCCCUGGAGCAAUCUGAGGUCAAUCCCUCUCAUCCUAUCAACUCAACCAUGAUCUCCCCGCAGUGCCCUGUUUGAUGGUGGGGCUUCCAUCACUGACCUCUGUGUGAGCUCUGCCACCACACUCGUGCUCAGCCCAUGGCAAUACAAGUGCUCUCCAUCAAGGAUGGAGCAGCAGUUUCACAGCACUGGGUGGGUUUGCAAGCAGCCUGCAGAGGGUGGAGAAGCACCUUGUGCCAGUGUCUGGGGGUCAGAUGAGAUUCCAGCACGUGCUUUACACGUGUUAUGUACUUCUGUACUAACCGUGCAUCAAAUUAUAAUGUAAAACCAAAAUAUUUUUGUUGGAUGAGAACGCCCCAUUCAUCAAUCAAUUGACUAAUAGUGUAGAGUAUGGGACACUGUAAUCUAACAAACUUAACAGCUGCUUGAAACAGCUGCUGCUCUCAGCUCUCGUUGGUUUGAGAACUGAGAUCUGAAGUGCUGCAGUUCUGUCUUUGGGGGAGUUUUUCAGGAUUGUUCCUCCAUCUGUGCCAGCAAAGAGCACUCAGGAGUGGGGAUGUAGAACUCCUGGAGCUUCCUGCUGCAUUGCAAACCCUGCUUGUGCCUAAGCUGUUGCUUUAGCAAGGACCCAGGUCUGGAGGUGUUGAAAUCUGCAGCUGGGAAGCAUGCAGGGGGAGCAUGUGGGACCAUCCCGCUGGAGGAGGAUGGUCCUCAGAGUGGGACUUUGGUUCUUCUGCCUUUCACUGGGGUCAUGGUGAAGAAUUGUGAUGUAAGAGAUGCUGCAAAAAAUGGUGAAAAGCUCCGUGUGAAGAGGUUUUGUCCAUGUGAGUCACAUAGUGGGCGCCGGCCUGCUGCUGGGGAGGGCUAUGAAGUAAAACUGGGGGGGGGGGGAAAGGAAAACCCCACAAAGACAGCAGCCACCAACCCCCUAAAGAAGCUCAUCAGAGCCUACUGAAGGACAUUCCCUGGAGAUGAGGUAACUGAAGUUCUGAUAUAGACAGAUGAGGCAGCCCUGGCAUGUUUAUACAGUCAGAGAGUUUACUGCAUUCAAAAAAAAGACCAAAAAUAAAACAAAAAACAAAAAACCAGCAAAGCAGUCGGCAUUAAUCAAAUCUCGUUUAUUUUGUCAAACAUUGUAUCCCUUUGAAAAUAAACAUCUUGGUGCUGUUUUGCCCAAAGCGUGCUCGGAGCUGAAGCUCACAUCCAGCCCUGGGCUGCAAGGGGUCAAAUCUACCCCUGCAAAAGGCUCCGUGGGAAGCAAAGGCACCGUUAGGGUUAUGCAGCAUUAUCCCUGAUGCUCCUGGGCAGCCGGAGGCACACAGAGGCUUUUCCUGACUGCCCUGCCACGUUUCCAACACGCAGAACCAGUCUGGGUCUGCAGCAGCCUGUAUCCCAUCAGUGUCAUAUUCUAUUACCAUCCACCGCGUCAGCAAAUGGGAAAAUAAACACGGGGCAGAUAGCGAAGCAAGAGGCUGUUUAAUUACCAACGUGAAGGAGGGCCAUGUUUGUGUACGUUCUGCUGAGGAGUGGACUGAAGUGGUGGCCUUCCCCAUGGUGUGAAAUGGGGCCCUUGUGGGGCGCAGGCGUCUCGUGGCACUUCAGGAUGCGCCAGGCGAUGCGCUGUCCCCAUUGUUUAUAGUUAAGGCUGGAGGAUGGCUCUUGAAGCCGGAUCUCAGCAGCUGACAGUGUUUUCUGAGAACUUGUCAUCUGGACUUCUUCUAGCAAGAUUCCUGGUAUUGGGUGGAAUCGUUCCCAUUUGUCAGAAAAAAAAAAACACCCAAUGUCUUUUGGAAAAAAAAAUAGAGAAGUAGUAAAGGGAAGACGGCGAAAAAAUGACUCAUGACGUCCAUCUGAGACCUGCAGCACCACCCAGGACGUGACCUGGGGAGCCCCGUCAGAGCAGAGGAUGCUGUUCCCAGCACAGUGAGCUGCAGGGCUGGCUGCACGUUGUGGGCAGCCCUGGUGUAGCGCUGGGCCCAUCUCUCAGUGCGUGCUGCCAGCAGGUGCUGCAGGCAUGGCAAACACUGGGCAAUACUGGGGUGCUACUGGGCCAUACUGGGGUGCUACUGGGCCAAGCAGCAAGAGUGCUGAUUGGCAUGGGUAAUUGCAGGGGGGUCAGGGAAUGUGGGAGGAUGCUGAUCUGUGCUUGUGCCUGGUCGCACCUGCCUUAAUUGCUGCCUCUUUGCAUGGGACCAGCACAGGUGCUGCUGCUGGAUGCUGCCCUGAGCUCUCCCCCAGCCCAACCCGAGCUGCAGGGGCAGGAAAGCACAGUCUUUGUGCUGCAUCCUGCCCUUCUGGGGGCGGCUUCUGUGUUUUGUGUCAUGCUGGUAUGACCGUUCCACCCUUGGAACAGCCCUAGGAGUCAUCCUUGGGCACACAGUUUCCUAUAUCCACCACGCCUCAUGUACCACACUGAGCCCAUCCUGGUCUGCUUUCAGGGAGCAGCAAUCUGGACUUGCAGGUGCAUGGAAUAAUAAAUCCCUCUUCUUUUUCCUUUAGCAAAGAUGGCUUAGGACCAUUUCUACCAGCACCCGUGGCACUGUCAGGACUCAUUGCUCUCGACUACUGUUCUGGGUUCCAAGGGAGCCAUUAGAAAGAGGAUAAAGUGUAUUUGCCACUGCAAUAGAAACAAGAUGAGAAUUAGUCCAUGAAUCACUCACUAAAGUCAAACAUAUGGAGUAAAGAGCGGAUUUAUUUACAUCUUUCUCUCACCCUCCGAGCGCAUGGGAUGGCCACAAAGCACCAAGCAAUGGGGAUGUGCCACAAUGGCAUUGGGUCACAGCUCCAUCCCAGCGCUGGGGGAAAGCUUUGUUUGCACCAUUGGGGUUUCCUUCAGAGCUGUGCUGUUGGGGCAGAAUGUCCGGACGGGGAGAUGGGCCAUAGCUGUGAGCAACAGCUUGGAUGCAAAUGUCGAGCAGUCGUCUAUCUGCUGGAGAAGGAGUAAAUAUAGAUGUGGGUCUUGCACCUUUUAAACACUGCAUGUCUGCGGACUGCCAAUGUGGCUAUGGGAUUUGCAUGCUGCUUUAUUUAGUAUUACAUACGCUGCCUCGUGUUUACAGAAACCGCCCUGCAGACACCAAAUGUGCAACCAC